CAGCCGCCGCGGGAAUACGAAGGGGGCUAGCGUUGUUCGGAAUUACUGGGCGUAAAGCGCACGUAGGCGGAUACUUAAGUCAGGGGUGAAAUCCCGGGGCUCAACCCCGGAACUGCCUUUGAUACUGGGUAUCUCGAGUCCGGAAGAGGUGAGUGGAAUUCCGAGUGUAGAGGUGAAAUUCGUAGAUAUUCGGAGGAACACCAGUGGCGAAGGCGGCUCACUGGUCCGGUACUGACGCUGAGAUGCAAAAGCGUGGGGAGCAAACAGGAUUAGAUACCCGCGUAGUCCCUGUCUCUUAUAA
RNAcentral lists this ribosomal RNA (301 nucleotides) under uncultured bacterium. Its description in RNAcentral is "partial 16S ribosomal RNA". It matches the Rfam family "Bacterial small subunit ribosomal RNA", at positions 509 to 809 of the family's 1533-position model. The record is from RNAcentral.